AAUUUUCCUCUUCUCUCCCCCCUGAAGAAAACAAAUUUGAAAAACAGUUGGCAUUUUAACAAUUGAAGCGCCUGUUGGGAUUCUGUAGCAUCAUAAAAACAAGUUGCUGCAACCAAUGGGCCGAACUUAAAUAUCAAAGGGACCACACACUUUCUUUUUAACUAAAUCGCUUCGUUUUGAAGCAAAAGUUUCUUUGAAAUGACUCAAUGUCGGUAAUGUCCUUGGGGGUUAAGUUCCUUCAGAAUGUUCUCGCUUGAAGUUUCUUAACACUGUAAGGUCUCUAGUGGUGUCAAAAUGCACCCUGUUAUCCCAAGCGCAAUCGUUGCAGAGAUCAUUGCCUUUUUUGGUCAAAGCUGAGCUCAGUUGAUGAGCAGGGGUGUGAAAAGCGUGCAAUAAGGAGUAUCCCAGAAUGCACUGGCAACGUGUCAAGCCAACGUGCUUUUCGAUUUUCCCCUCAUUCACGAAGACCCGAUGUCGCGGACGGUCAGAGUCAAGGAAGUCAUCUAUGUUCAAGCAUCCAGAAAGCCACCAUUCCAGGCAAGGACGAUAAGUUUGGAUCUAAAAAAGAGAACAGAAUUCUUGGCAUCGUCACAAAUUUGUCCCGCAAAACAUGGUUUACGAAAGGCUAGAGAUAAAUUGAAAUGGUGAGUUAUGACUUCAAGAAUAUAUUUGCUUUACCGUUUUUACAUAUUGAUUCUCUUCCUUGGAAGAGAUUUUGACAUAUUUGAAGUCUUAUAAACUCGUGAAGUCUGCUGGUGAAAUUUUAACGUUGGCUGAACUUUGCUUAGGAGGGAUCCUGACACUCCAUUCAAAAUCUCCGAAGUUUGAUUUAGAAACACAGAAUUAUGAUUAGAAACUAAAGCGCAGGGUGUAAAAAAAUUAGAAAUACUUUCUAUCCAGUUUAUCGAGGUAUUUCCUUGCAAAGUUAUCGAGUUUUUCGAUUUUUUUCAAAUAGUUCAGUUUAAGUUUCUUUAGAACGUAGCCCCUUUAGUGAAAUAUUCUGAAAUUGGGACAUUUUCUUUCCCGUUUAUCGAGGUGUUUCCUUUUCAAAAUUAUCGAGUUUUUCGACCUUUUUUCAAACAGUCCAUUUUAAGUUUCUUUAGAACGUAGCCCCUUUGGUGAAAUAUUCUGAAAUUGGAACAUUUUCUUUCCCGUUUAUCGAGGUGUUUCCUUUUCAAAAUUAACGAGUUUUUCGAUUUUUCUCUCUCGAAUAUUUCAUUUUAAAUUUUCUUAGAACGUAGCCCCUUUGAUGAAAUACUCUGAAAUUGGAACAUUUUCUUUCCCGUUUAUCGAGAAUGACCUUGUCGCAAAUUCAAGCGAUUACCCAACAUCUGAAAGAUUUGAAGGGAAAAUCGAAAGCGGGACAGACGAUAAGCAUUUUCAAGAAGCGCAGAGCCUGGGAAAUUUACGCACCGAAAGACCAGUACGAGCACUAAUGAGAGACUGGCAAGUUUGUGAUCAGAAGCUUUAUUUUUGGCCGAAGUAAAAUUUUAAAACUUAUCUGGAUCGCUAACAGUUCCUUGCUAUUUGAGAGUCAGAUUAAACAGGCCAUCACAAAUUGUUUCUUUGCUGUGAAUCCUCGUAUUGUUUAUAGUACGAAAAAGGCCCUUCCGUCCAUUCAAAAGGACUGCGUUCCUACCAACCAAAAAAGUUCCGCUGUUUAUGAUCAGAAGCUUUAUUUUUGGCUGAAGUAGAAUUUUAAAACAGUUCCUUGCUAUUUGAGAGUCAGAAAAAAAGUUCCGUUGUUUAUGAAUUUACGUGCCAGUUUGAUUCUGGCAACGUAGGACGCACUACCCAAAGAUUUUGGUAUAGGAUAAAACAACAUGUUCCGUCUAGUAUUAGAAACAAAACUCAUCCCCAAAGAGAACAGCCACCUCGGUCUUUCAAAUCUAAAAUUACAACUAAAACCUGCGAUUCUGCUAUCGGGCAGCUGGAAAACCCAGAUUGUGCAAAGUGUUUUUUUAAAUCUCAACUCAAUUUGUUGUAUCCAGCUCUCAAAUUAUUCAUCGAAAAGGGACAAAAGAAUUACAUAAGCUUUCUAGACGUUUAGGUACAAAAAGGAGGAGCUGGGUUUCACACUAGCGUAAAAGAAACCAACAUUUUCAGGGCGAUAUAUUCUUUUUUCAAUACUAAGACAGGUUUCCACAUAUUUGUUAUAAUUUGCUAUAUUCCUCUUUUUGUAUUAUCUAUCUAUUACUAUCUAUCUAUUUUUGGUAUGUUUUGAUAAAUUACCAAUAGUUCUGUAGUAUUUUUGUAGUAUUAGAACAUAUUUUUGCUUCCUUCAAUGAUUGUUAAAAAUAUUACAACAAAUUCCGAUGAUGUUUCUUUGUAAAAGAAUU
This is a non-coding RNA of Rhopilema esculentum, 2339 nucleotides long. The record is from RefSeq and is a predicted model, not a curated record. Lineage: Eukaryota; Metazoa; Cnidaria; Scyphozoa; Rhizostomeae; Rhizostomatidae.